AACGGCGCCCCCCUGCACACGCCGAUACAGGUCAGCGGGAGAUUCUGGUGAAGCAGAAAAUAUGGAGGAGUUAUUCCAAAGACCGUCCGGCAUUAGAACCUCUGUUUGAAGAGCGCACACACACACACAGAGAGCGAGGAAGAGCCCCGUCCCACGAAGAUAAUCCCUGCCAUGCUCAAACUCGGCUGUGAGUGAUGUGACAGUGUGUGUGCUCCAAGAGCACAUUGUCUGCUCUAACUUUCCCUGUGCGUGAGGAUCUGCGAUCUCCAUGAAGUGCCUUCCUGCCUCUUCUUCCUCCUCUGGCUGUCUGGUGCGUCUUCUCGCUGUCAAGCAAUAUCUCCGGCCUGAUUUGUUCCUCUUCUCCCCAGCAGCUUAUUCGGAUAAGACUUAACGGCAAAUUAUAUUACAUGCGUGUGUGUAGCCCUGUCGGAAUUCGUUUUUUCCCCAGAAUGUGUCCUCCUGGUCAAGUGACCAGUUGAAUUUUAUUACGAGGAGAGUCUCUCGUGGGACUUUAAUAAAAGAAGCGGCUUUCAUAGUAUUUGAAAACUCCGGUUCCUUUGAAAAGGAUUUGGGGGGGUGCAUGUUUAUUUCAUCAAUACAAAUUGAAGGAAAAAGAAAAAACGUCUAUGGAAUACAAUGUGAAAUUCGUUGCGACAGCAGUGGAGCAAUUGGCUUGUCUUUCCUGAACUUUCCUGAAGUACAGUUUCUGCUUUGUUCUGUAAUGUAUUGAUCCAUUCAGAGCUCCCGCCCAAUGAGGUUGACUCAUGCUAGCUCUGUUUAAGCCUGUCUGCAACAUGGCUUUUUUUAUUUCUCCUUCCUGGCAGCCGGCAAAGCCUUCACAAGACUGUACAACCUUGGAGCUCAAUUUUUUUUCUACUCUUCACUCUGGAACACUGCCAAAGGCAAAAAUAAAAGGGAAAAAGACACACACACACACGCGCACACACACACAACUUCAGCAUAGUUUGAAGUUUUCACUGAAUUCCUCAACUGAAAAGCAAGUUCUAGUCAAAGUUGAUGUCCUGGUGAAAUGAUUACUCUCAUUGUAAGGUAUAUAACAUUGUGUAAAUUCUCUAUAUCUUGGCCUCUUUAAUACAAGAAAACCAGGAAAAAGUUAGCAUUAAGCAAUGUGGCUGGAACAGAGGCCUCUUUAUUUUCUGCAUGGAAAAUAACACUUUGCUGGACUUCAGCCCUGAUAACCCAGGGACGCUUACCUGGAAGUGGAACUCCAUCUGAUUCUCCAAGUCUGUGUCUAACUAGAAAUAGGGAGACUUUCAGAAAGCAAGGAGCUGACUUAAUUGACAGUAGAAAAACUGUUCCGAAUGCUGCACACACAUACAAAUAAAUAUAUACCGUGGGUCCCCGAAUUGGUAUUUUGAAGUCCAUAUGAUAAUAGUUUGGUAAUCACGAUGACCGCUGUGAUUUAUCCAUCCAGUCAGUUUUGUUUAAGGCUUUGUACGUAGAGGGUUGCGGUCAGGUGGUGCUUGUCCACCUGGGAGGCACAGGACACUACAGCCUGAACGAGACACUAGUCCCUCACAGGGCACAUGCACACAUAAUUUAGGUGCAGUUUAGGGCAGCUACAGUAGCUAACCUGGAGCAUGUCGCCUGGACCU
Lepisosteus oculatus (spotted gar) is the source of this 1616-nucleotide non-coding RNA. The record is from RefSeq and is a predicted model, not a curated record. NCBI's taxonomy places the organism in Eukaryota, Metazoa, Chordata, Actinopteri, Semionotiformes, Lepisosteidae.